AGCGAACGCCGGCGGCAGGCUUAACACAUGCAAGUCGAGCGGGCAUCCUUGUGGUGUCAGCGGCAGACGGGUGAGUAACGCGUGGGAACGUGCCCUUCGGUUCGGAAUAACUCAGGGAAACUUGAGCUAAUACCGGAUACGUGCGAGAGCAGAAAGGUUUAUCUGCCGAAGGAUCGGCCCGCGUCUGAUUAGCUAGUUGGUGAGGUUACGGCUCACCAAGGCGACGAUCAGUAGCUGGUCUGAGAGGAUGAUCAGCCACACUGGGACUGAGACACGGCCCAGACUCCUACGGGAGGCAGCAGUGGGGAAUAUUGGACAAUGGGGGCAACCCUGAUCCAGCCAUGCCGCGUGAGUGAUGACGGCCUUAGGGUUGUAAAGCUCUUUUCUCCGGGACGAUAAUGACGGUACCGGAGGAAUAAGCCCCGGCUAACUUCGUG
RNAcentral lists this ribosomal RNA (437 nucleotides) under uncultured bacterium. RNAcentral describes it as "partial 16S ribosomal RNA". It matches the Rfam family "Bacterial small subunit ribosomal RNA", at positions 29 to 507 of the family's 1533-position model. The record is from RNAcentral.